UACGAAGGGGGCUAGCGUUGUUCGGAUUUACUGGGCGUAAAGCGCACGUAGGCGGCUUGUUAAGUCAGAGGUGAAAUCCCGGAGCUCAACUCCGGAACUGCCUUUGAUACUGGCAGGCUCGAGUGUAGGAGAGGUUGGUGGAACUGCGAGUGUAGAGGUGAAAUUCGUAGAUAUUCGCAAGAACACCAGUGGCGAAGGCGGCCAACUGGCCUACAACUGACGCUGAGGUGCGAAAGCGUGGGGAGCAAACAGG
RNAcentral lists this ribosomal RNA (253 nucleotides) under uncultured bacterium. RNAcentral describes it as "partial 16S ribosomal RNA". It matches the Rfam family "Bacterial small subunit ribosomal RNA", at positions 524 to 776 of the family's 1533-position model. The record is from RNAcentral.